RNAcentral lists this ribosomal RNA (536 nucleotides) under uncultured Nectriaceae. Its description in RNAcentral is "eukaryotic LSU rRNA". The stretch from base 184 to 337 matches the Rfam family "5.8S ribosomal RNA". Lineage: Eukaryota; Fungi; Ascomycota; Sordariomycetes; Hypocreales; Nectriaceae. The record is from RNAcentral.
UGGACCUGCGGAAGGAUCAUUACCGAGUUCAUGCCCUUCGGGGUAGAUCUCCCACCCUUUGUAUACUAUACCUUUGUUGCUUUGGCGGGCCGCCUAGCUACUGGCUUCGGCUGGUAAGUGCCCGCCAGAGAACCCAAAACCCUGAAUUAUUAGUGUCGUCUGAGUAAAAUAUUUAAUAUUUAAAACUUUCAACAACGGAUCUCUUGGCUCUGGCAUCGAUGAAGAACGCAGCGAAAUGCGAUAAGUAAUGUGAAUUGCAGAAUUCAGUGAAUCAUCGAAUCUUUGAACGCACAUUGCGCCCGCCAGUAUUCUGGCGGGCAUGCCUGUCCGAGCGUCAUUUCAACCCUCAAGCCCCCGGGCUUGGUGUUGGAGAUCGGCGAGCCCUCCGGGGCGCGCCGUCUCCCAAAUAUAGUGGCGGUCCCGCUGUAGCUUCCUCUGCGUAGUAGCACACCUCGCACUGGGAAACAGCGUGGCCACGCCGUAAAACCCCCCACUUCUGAAAGGUUGACCUCGGAUCAGGUAGGAAUACCCGCUGA